GACGAACGCUGGCGGCGUGCUUAACACAUGCAAGUCGAACGGAAAGGCCCUGCUGUUGUGGGGUGCUCGAGUGGCGAACGGGUGAGUAACACGUGAGUAACCUGCCCGUGACUUUGGGAUAACUUAAGGAAACUGGGGCUAAUACCGGAUAGGAGCUCCUGCUGCAUGGUGGGGGGUGGAAAGUUUCGGCGGUUGGGGAGGGACUGGCGGCUUAUCAGCUUGUUGGUGGGGUAGUGGCUUACCAAGGCUUUGACGGGUAGCCGGCCUGAGAGGGUGACCGGCCACAUUGGGACUGGGAUACGGCCCAGACUCCUACGGGAGGCAGCAGUGGGGAAUAUUGCACAAUGGGCGGAAGCCUGAUGCAGCAACGCCGCGUGCGGGAUGACGGCCUUCGGGUUGUAAACCGCUUUCGCCUGUGACGAAGCGUGAGUGACGGUAAUGGGUAAAGAAGCACCGGCUAACUACGUG
RNAcentral lists this ribosomal RNA (468 nucleotides) under uncultured bacterium. Its description in RNAcentral is "partial 16S ribosomal RNA". It matches the Rfam family "Bacterial small subunit ribosomal RNA", at positions 28 to 507 of the family's 1533-position model. The record is from RNAcentral.